GGUAAUUUGUGUGUGAUCACCUAUAUCUUUAUUCGCUAUAUGACGGUAGUGACAAAAGUGGCUCAGCAUCAUUAUGGAGGAUAUCAUGAUGAACUAGAGGUGGACGAGGAGGAAGUAGAAAAAGAUGAAGACGAUGAUGAUGAAAAGGAGAAGAAAGAGGAGGAGGAGGGGAGGAAACUCGUUGAUCAGAAACUCCAAUGAAUGUGAAAAAGUUCAAGUUUUGUUUCCUUGGAAACAAAAUAGUAAUUUAGAUUCUUAUUUACUUUAUAUGUAGUCUAUUGUUGGUUAAAAAAAAGUAUCCAUGGUCUUUUUAUUUGAUUUCAAUUGUAGUUUUUAAGUUGGUGAAAAAACAAUAUGCAGGGUUUUUAUGUUUGAUUUAGUUAUUGAGUCUAAUUUGGAUUGUCUCUAGAGCUGGAGGCCUAUUGUUCAAUGUAAGUCUAGAUCGAAAUGCGUAAAUCUUCUAUUUUGCAGACAAGUUCUAUUUUAUAUAGAGUCCAGGUUCGUAUGACCAACUAUCAGGCCUGUAUUUCUUUUAUUUUGAA
Solanum lycopersicum (tomato) is the source of this 542-nucleotide non-coding RNA. The record is from RefSeq and is a predicted model, not a curated record. Lineage: Eukaryota; Viridiplantae; Streptophyta; Magnoliopsida; Solanales; Solanaceae.